GGCCUACACAUGCAAGUCUUAGCGGAAACGAGUUAUCUGAACCUUCGGGGAACGAUAACGGCGUCGAGCGGCGGACGGGUGAGUAAUGCCUAGGAAAUUGCCCUGAUGUGGGGGAUAACCAUUGGAAACGAUGGCUAAUACCGCAUAAUGCCUACGGGCCAAAGAGGGGGACCUUCGGGCCUCUCGCGUCAGGAUAUGCCUAGGUGGGAUUAGCUAGUUGGUGAGGUAAUGGCUCACCAAGGCGACGAUCCCUAGCUGGUCUGAGAGGAUGAUCAGCCACACUGGAACUGAGACACGGGUCCAGACUCCUACGGGAGGCAGCAGGGGGGAAUAUUGCACAAUGGGCGCAAGCCUGAUGCAGCCAUGCCGCGUGUGUGAAGAAGGCCUUCGGGUUGUAAAGCACUUUCAGUCGUGA
Molecule: ribosomal RNA, 415 nt
Filed under: Vibrio sp. P12-28
Lineage: Bacteria; Pseudomonadati; Pseudomonadota; Gammaproteobacteria; Vibrionales; Vibrionaceae
Description: bacterial SSU rRNA
Rfam family: Bacterial small subunit ribosomal RNA
Source: RNAcentral